UAUAAUAUUCUUUAAAGCUUUUAAAAAUUUUAAAUUUAAUUAUAUUUUUAAUUUUUUAGAACGACACGAAACGAUUUACCGCUUUCAGUAAGCACAUGCCUCACUAUUGCAUAAUUAAAAAAGGUAAACUUUAAUUUGCCCCAUGUCAUUUAGGGGUGUUUGGGUCGUUUAUUUUCGGUAUGAAAAAUAAUAUUUUCUUGCUUAUUUGGUUAUUUGUAGAAUAAUUUUUUCGUAAAAAUAUUAUUAUGGAUUUGAGAAAAAAAUUAAAGGCUAAAUUACAUAAAACCCUCCGUCAAAAUCCGAUUUUUCAUUUUCUUCCUCUGUUAUUUAAAAAUCUACACCUUCCCUCCUUGUAAAAUAAAAAAUGUUCACAGAGGGUACGGUGUGUACUGUGAUGAUAAAAUGACCAUUUUGCCCCUCACCAUUAUCGUCUCCUCCCUCAUCUUUCUCAACAGCAACAUCAAUCGGUCACGGUUUACGCCUCAAUAGGCUGCAGUUUCUCUCUAUUUUCUUCCCCACCUGCUCCCCUCUCUUCCUGCACUCUCGCCACCUCUCGAUUUCGGCGAUAGUAGGGUGGAAAUCGAGGUGGUGGUGGAUGGAGAGGUAGGUAACGGCAACGAGGGCGAAGGUGAGGUGGCGGAGGAGGGCGAAGGGGUGGUGCGGACGGGGAUGUGGGCGAGGGCGAGGGCGAGGCAACGGAGGAGGGCGAGGCGGCGAAGCAACAGGAAGAGGGCGGAGGGGUAUUUUUGGUAGAAGAAAAUAUUUUAUAACGGAAUCCUAACAGAUCACUAACGGUAGGGGGCAAAGUGCACAUUUUUUAUUUUACAAGGAGGCAAAGUGUAGUUUUUUAAAUGACAGGGGUGGAAAGUGAAAAAUCUCGUUUUGACAGGGGGGUUUUCUAUAAUUUAGCCAAAAUUAAAAUUUUCAUUUUUUGUUGUUUUUCAAAGAAAAACAAAAAUUCUAUGGAAUUAAUUUACUAUUAUACAAUAAUUUAUUUAUAAAUAUUAUAUUUAUAUAUGAUAUAAUAUAUUACAUGUGUUAUUAUCUAUUAUCUUAUAUAAAUAAAUUAUUAUAUUAUAUAUUAUAUAGAGUUGGGUUGGGAUGCUAUUGAUAGCAUCCAGCCAACUUUGCCACCUAUUUUAUAACCCUUGGAUCGCAUCGAGAUCCGUGCCACACCUUUAGUCAAAACUUGAGAAAAGCUCCAUUAGAUCCCCUCCGUUAUCUCUCUUUUUCUCUCUCUCUCUCUCUCUUUGUCUCUCUCUCUCUCUCUCUCUUCUUUUCUUUUUUCUUUUCCUUUCUUCUCCACAGACCUCACCUCCCGCCAAACCUCCCUCCUCCACAGCAUGCCCACCUCCCACCUCGCCCACUCGCCCCCUCGCCGCAGUUUUCGCCCGCCCGCUUGCUCUCUCACUUUCUCUCUUUCUUCUUUUCUUUUUCUUUUUCCUUUCUUCUCCACAGAGCUUACCACCAAACCCUCCCUCCUCCACACCCCGCCCACCUCCCAUCUCGCCCACCUCGCCCACUCGUCCCCUCGCUUGCUCGCUCGCUUGCUGGCUCGCUCACCCCCUUGCCUACUUCUCAGGUUUGAUUCUUUGUUUUAUUUUUUUUAGUUGUUUGGUGAAUAAAUUAUAGGAAAAAAAUAUUAUUUGGUGAAACAAAUUACAGGAAAAAAAAUAUUGUUCUGUGUUUAAAAAAUCUGAAAAAAAAAUCUGAUUUUAUUAUACAAAAUUUGAAUUUAUUAUAAAAUCUGAUUUUAUUAUACAAAAUCUGAUUUUAUUAUUCUAGCAUCUAUUUUAUUAAUCUCUUGGCUACUUGCAAUUCUUGUCCUUAGAACUAUUGAUAUUGAGUAAGUGAUUACACAGGCUCUGAUUCUAUGAAAGAAAAGAUAGUGUACGGAAUUCAUGUGUAUUAGCAUUCUUUGAUGAUUUUUUUCUAUGCACAGAGAAGGUUGCUCUUCUUAUUUUUUAACUACAUUUCUGCAAUUUUGAAUGAGAGUUUUUAAGUGUUUAAUGUUUUGAGUUCAGUGAUUUAGACUACUGAAAUCUACAGUUGGUAAAUAUCAUGCUUCUUACUAAUUUUUAUUUUUAUUUUUAUUUUUUCUGAAGGUUGGAGUCAAAUGGAUUAGAUAAUAAUGUUGAGAUAGGUGAAGUCUGUCUCAAAUGGUCUGUCACAGUAAACUGAAAAGGAUGGUGCUACAUAUACUACAAAAGGCCAAGAAGAGACAGAUAGCUCAAGUGACUCUGUAUGAAGAUAAACUUGUAACAUGCGUAAACAAUGGCUGAACUAGGCUUCUUGUUUGUAGUAUGUAUUUUGCUAGUAAUAACUCUGAAAUGAUACUUAUUAUCCAGAUAGUUUAACUUGUAGAAUGUUCAAGUGAUCUGGAUGAUUUAACUUAUUGUAGAAUGUUUAUCAUCGACAGGUAUUUGUUGCUUUCUGCUGUCUCCUUUUCCACUGUUGUUAAAAUUUGGUGCUCUGCUUCAUGCUAUAGUGUUUC
RNAcentral lists this long non-coding RNA (2494 nucleotides) under Ananas comosus (pineapple). Its description in RNAcentral is "long non-coding RNA (ACOM_LNC028944)". Lineage: Eukaryota; Viridiplantae; Streptophyta; Magnoliopsida; Poales; Bromeliaceae. The record is from RNAcentral.